GUCCCCGUAGCUCAGCUGGAUAGAGCGUCCCCCUCCUAAGGGGAAGGUCGCAGGUUCGACUCCUGCCGGGGACGCCA
RNAcentral lists this transfer RNA (77 nucleotides) under Methylophaga thalassica. RNAcentral's name for it is "tRNA-Arg". It matches the Rfam family "tRNA". Rfam says of the family: Transfer RNA (tRNA) molecules are approximately 80 nucleotides in length. Their secondary structure includes four short double-helical elements and three loops (D, anti-codon, and T loops). Further hydrogen bonds mediate the characteristic L-shaped molecular structure. tRNAs have two regions of fundamental functional importance: the anti-codon, which is responsible for specific mRNA codon recognition, and the 3' end, to which the tRNAs corresponding amino acid is attached (by aminoacyl-tRNA synthetases). tRNAs cope with the degeneracy of the genetic code in two manners: having more than one tRNA (with a specific anti-codon) for a particular amino acid; and 'wobble' base-pairing, i.e. permitting non-standard base-pairing at the 3rd anti-codon position. Lineage: Bacteria; Pseudomonadati; Pseudomonadota; Gammaproteobacteria; Thiotrichales; Piscirickettsiaceae. RNAcentral also lists the same sequence under 5 other names. The record is from RNAcentral.